This 88-nucleotide transfer RNA is filed under the name Paramuricea clavata. It matches the Rfam family "tRNA". From Rfam's summary of the family: Transfer RNA (tRNA) molecules are approximately 80 nucleotides in length. Their secondary structure includes four short double-helical elements and three loops (D, anti-codon, and T loops). Further hydrogen bonds mediate the characteristic L-shaped molecular structure. tRNAs have two regions of fundamental functional importance: the anti-codon, which is responsible for specific mRNA codon recognition, and the 3' end, to which the tRNAs corresponding amino acid is attached (by aminoacyl-tRNA synthetases). tRNAs cope with the degeneracy of the genetic code in two manners: having more than one tRNA (with a specific anti-codon) for a particular amino acid; and 'wobble' base-pairing, i.e. permitting non-standard base-pairing at the 3rd anti-codon position. Lineage: Eukaryota; Metazoa; Cnidaria; Anthozoa; Malacalcyonacea; Plexauridae. The record is from Rfam by way of RNAcentral.
ACUUCGAUAGCUCAGUUGGCAGAGCGGGGGACUGUAGUUGUUCGCAGUAAUAAUCUCUAGGUCACUGGUUCGAAUCCGGUUCGAAGGA